RNAcentral lists this ribosomal RNA (1142 nucleotides) under uncultured bacterium. RNAcentral describes it as "bacterial SSU rRNA". It matches the Rfam family "Bacterial small subunit ribosomal RNA", at positions 1 to 1143 of the family's 1533-position model. The record is from RNAcentral.
CGAAUUCCAAGCUUAGAGUUUGAUCCUGGCUCAGGAUGAACGCUAGCGAUAGGCCUAACACAUGCAAGUCGAGGGGUAGCGGGGAGUAGCAAUACUUUGCCGACGACCGGCGCACGGGUGAGUAACGCGUAUGCAACCUACCUACUACAGGGGGAUAGCCCGUUGAAAGACGGAUUAAUACCGCAUAAAACAGGGAUGCCGCAUGGCAAUAUUUGUUAAAGAUUUAUUGGUAGUAGAUGGGCAUGCGUUCCAUUAGCUAGUUGGGGAGGUAACGGCUCACCAAGGCAACGAUGGAUAGGGGAACUGAGAGGUUUAUCCCCCACACUGGUACUGAGACACGGACCAGACUCCUACGGGAGGCAGCAGUGAGGAAUAUUGGUCAAUGGGCGAGAGCCUGAACCAGCCAAGUCGCGUGAAGGAAGACUGCCCUAUGGGUUGUAAACUUCUUUUGUACUAGAGUAAAAAAGGGUAUGUAUACCCACUUGCAAGUAUAGUACGAAUAAGCAUCGGCUAACUCCGUGCCAGCAGCCGCGGUAAUACGGAGGAUGCGAGCGUUAUCCGGAUUUAUUGGGUUUAAAGGGUGCGUAGGCGGGGAUUUAAGUCAGCGGUGAAAGUUUGAGGCUCAACCUUAAAAUUGCCGUUGAAACUGGGUUCCUUGAGUGUAGAUGAAGUAGGCGGAAUUUGUGGUGUAGCGGUGAAAUGCAUAGAUAUCACGAAGAACUCCGAUUGCGCAGGCAGCUUACUAAGGUACAACUGACGCUGAAGCACGAAAGCGUGGGUAUCAAACAGGAUUAGAUACCCUGGUAGUCCACGCUGUAAACGAUGAUUACUAGCUGUUUGCGAUAUACAGUAAGUGGCUAAGCGAAAGCGAUAAGUAAUCCACCUGGGGAGUACGCCGGCAACGGUGAAACUCAAAGGAAUUGACGGGGGCCCGCACAAGCGGAGGAACAUGUGGUUUAAUUCGAUGAUACGCGAGGAACCUUACCCGGGCUUGAAAUGUAGAGAUAGAUUGAAACAGUUUAGCCAGCAUGGCUUCUAUGUAGUGCUGCAUGUGUCGUCAGCUCGUGCCGUGAGGUGUCGCUUAGUGCCAUAACGAGCGCCACCCACAUUGUUAGUACUACAGGUCAAGCUGAGGACUCCUG